AUAGAUCCCCCAUCCUUUUUCUUGUGACUAGAACAUAUUUUGCCCUGGCGUCGCGGAUACAAACCCCAUGGACCCUGUGCAGGGCAGCUAUUCAACGCAAAUACUCUCCCUAAUUCUCUUAUAGGUUAAGUGUAGAACCCGUGCUGCUUCCUGAGGGACAUUUGUGCUAGUGAUGGCGGCUCCUGCUCACUCAAAGGACAUGCUGACUCAAGUGACCCAACUCUGGAGUAUGCUGGAUGAGAUGGCAGAAAGCACCCCUGAGAGUUACCACAGAUUCAUGCAGCAGCAGCUGGAGGAUGCAAAGCAAUAUUGCACUCCCCCUGAACCACAUCUUUGCCUACAGACCCACAUACUGGAUCCUAAUGAAAAAUCAUUAUUCAUUAACCUCUGCAGAUGGAAAAGAGUCCCAGCUCCUAAGUCACCUACUGAUCCACUACCUCUAAGUGCUGGCCCACUUGAGGAGGUGUCCGAUAAAGCAGAACUGACCCUGGACCAGAUAAAGAACAACCUCAGAGAGGAGGACCGCACUAAUGCUACACUGCUGCUGAACAAGGAUGUUACACAGUCUAAAGUGCAUCUGAUAGAAGAAAUUGCCAGUAUGGAGCUGGUACGGGAGCCAGUCACACCAGCCUAUGAACUGACCAUUGCAAAGGAUGCAAACAGGAAACCUCUAAAGAUUGAACUGAAAGUUGAAAUGCCUAAAGUUAGUUCCGUUUCUGAAUGUGAACUGAGCCUUUCAAGGGAUGAUGUAAUCAUUGAAGUCCCUGAAAAAUACAGAUUACAGCUGGAUUUGCCAGAGUUAGUCGAAGAAGAAGCAACUACAGCAACAUUUAACACAGGAAAAGGUGUGUUGCUUAUCAUAAUGCCAAUUCCCUAAAGAAAAUGUUAGGGACAACAGGUUCUCAAAAAAUUAUGGGUAUGUGUCACUCUUAAAGAUUAAAAGGAAGGUUAAUGGUAAAGAUCUUACUAAUAUGUAGAAAUCAGUAUCACUGUGUUAUUCUAAGUAUCUGUUCUGCUGUCUAUGAAGGGGGGUGAUAAAGUUUACAUAGAGAGGAAGUGUACUGUAUAUAGAGUAGGAAGGAAUUCUUAAUAAAAGUUGUAAGCAUUUGAGGGUUACUUAAAUCAUUUUAUCUCUAACGCGAUUCUACAUUAUAAACUUUACUACCAUGUUCAGUUUGUCCAUCAGUAGAGCAAUAAAGGGUGAUUAACUCUGAAGAAAUAGUGUUUUCCUUUCUGGUUUUACUCCGCUGAAGAAACUCUUAUCUGGUGUUAGCAAACUGUUUCUUUUUAAAUAGAGGGUUUAAUGCUAGUGAAAGAUGGUGACAUUGAUAAUGCUUGAUAUGUAACAGUGCAAGCUCUCCCACAACCUGGCUUCUUUUUCAACUAGAUCUGCAGGGGUUACCUUUAAAAAGUGAGGUGAGCAGUCUCCAAGCCAAUUCACUACUGAGAGCACUACUAAGAGUUGGCCUUAACCCACCCAUGCAAUGGUGUUGCAAUCUCAGCAGAACUAGGCAACAUAACAGUAGUGCUCUAGAACUAGUCUGCCAAUUCAAAUACUAUUUACAUAAUGGAUAUUAAGGCUCAAGAACCCUGUGAAUGACGGUAUCUACCAAAAGGGUUUCUCUACUAUCAACACUUCCCAAGUGCUAUAUGUCUGUGGUGCCAGCUAGCAUUCACGAAGAAAACAAGCCAAAGCAGAUGAGAUAACAUUACAAAUGAAUACUUCAGAGGUUGGAAAAGGUGGGUCAGGAGUCCAGUUGUCUUACAAAGGCAAUAAUGAUCAUAUUCUAUUCUAAUAUGAAAUUAUUUUUCAGACUGUAGGUGAGGAAAUAAAGCAUCAGUUUCAUGAUGCCUUUUUGCUGAGGCAACAAGAGUAAAAGAAAGCUGUGCAGCUUGUCUAGGAUUCAAUGUGAUCAGGUUGGGGAACUCUGAGCACGCAAUGGACAGCGUUUGGAUGAAGAAGACUUCUUCACCUGACUAGCAGGAGGCAGCAAACUUUGGAUGCGAAGGAACCCGUUCUUCCCAAAUCCAGCUGGCUCAACACUGAAGAACAGACGCAGGAGGCUCACCAUACUGGUUAUCUACUUGUCGCUCAGACCCACACCACAACCCUUCAGUA
Molecule: non-coding RNA, 2119 nt
Organism: Chelonoidis abingdonii (Abingdon island giant tortoise)
Lineage: Eukaryota; Metazoa; Chordata; Testudines; Testudinidae
Source: RefSeq, a predicted model, not a curated record